AAUUUAUAUUCAGUUUUAAGUUGAACAGAACCAAUCUGAUAUAAAAAUAAAAUACAUUUUUCAGUGAACAAAUGACAAAUUCUUUUCCCAAAUUUAGUAUUUUUGUGGUUAUCAUUAAUUUUUUUUUCUGGCAGGUAUCAUCUGUCGUUGUCCUCAUUAUCGUAUUUCAUUGAAUUGGUUAAUGUAAAGUUUUCAUGGUCUGGUCUGUUUCUUGGAUACUAUAGGUAAAAGGUCAACUAUAUGUGUAUGUGGUGUAUGGAUUUAUUCAGGUGUACAUGUCUGUUUGGUAGAAUGUAUCUGACCUUGACUUCAUGGUCAUUGAUCAUUGAUAAUAUUAAGUGUAUGUGAUACUUGUAGUAAAUCCUCUGUUUUUAAAUCUUUAAACAUAAAAUUAAUCUUGGUCAGUAAAGUAGGUGAGACAUUUCAACCCAAACCUGUGACCAGGGCGGUUUGAGGGGUUUGUACAAACCCCCCUUGAAAACAAUUAAGUACAGUUGAAGUCGAUGAUUUGUUUGAAUUGUAACUGUAAAAUUCAGGCUUCACAGGUCCAUGUAACACCCACCUCACCUGGAAAUUCUUAGCUACAGACCUGCAACUCACACUCUCUUGUGAACUCUUUAAAUGAAAUUAUUGUCUAGAUUUUGAUUUGAAGAAAGGCUGACCAGUUAUUAAAGUAUUUGUUUUAAUGGUUUUAUUGUAUUUAUUUUAUAUUAAGUGGUGAUUGCAAGUACACUUUUUGAUGUAAUACAAUAAAUGGCAAUUAGUCUAUUACUAUGUACAACAAUUAAUGAUGAUAUUGAUACAAGUCAUUGUUGAAGGCUUGAUUUUACAUUAUGUCAAUAGAAAUUUUUUUAUUUAAGGUAUGUUAUAAAGUGUAUAUGUAAAUGCUCUUUUGUUCCGACGUUGGAAAGUUCCGGGUGGAAAGAACUAACUAGCCGAAAAGUUCCAGAGGAACUUAAUAACUAGUUAUUUGUUCUUCCUCUGGUUUAAAAGUUCCACCGGAACAAGUGACUAGUUGAAAAGUUCCAACGGAACAUAUCAACUAGUAGAAAUCCCCUUUUUUGCCAAAUUAGUCAAAACAGGAACUAACAAACUAGCCCAAAAGUUGCUACAGAACUUAUCAACCAGUCACAAAGUUCCAUUUGGAGAAUUGAUUCAAAGUAAAAGCGCAACAUAUUAUAUUUGAACCUUUCAAAGGUGACCCAAGAUACUGAUUACAAAAGUCAAAAGGAACUUAUCAACUAGUCACACAGUUCCUCUUUGGCAAAUAAGUCAAAACUGGAACUAACAAACUAGCCCAAAAGUUCCUCCUCAUGUGGGUACUUUUAAAAAUAUCAAUUUCAGAUUAAUGUAUAACAAUAAAUUACAACUUAUUCCUUAUGAAGGCAACAUUCUGACUGAAUUAACUAGUUGUUCUGUUCCACCAGAACUUUUCAACUAACUACAUUGUUCCGGCACUUUUCAACUGCACUUGGAAAAAACCAACUAGUUGGAAAGUUCAAUGGGAACAAAAUAACUAGUUGAAAAGUUCGGCCGGAAAAAAGUAAUUGACGGAACAUAGUGGCUGUUACAUAUACAAUACGACUUUCAAUAUCACACACUGUAUCAACCCUUUACCAAUGUUAUUUCUUUAUCAAAGCUCUUGGGAUUAUACUGACGUCUUAGGUUGAUUAGGGUGUGAUAUUGAAAAUCUCUAUUUGGAAGUUUAGUAAGUUAAAUGACGGUUUAUAUUAACAAAAAUGAUAUUUGAUUUGUGAUAUU
RNAcentral lists this long non-coding RNA (1761 nucleotides) under Mytilus galloprovincialis (Mediterranean mussel). Lineage: Eukaryota; Metazoa; Mollusca; Bivalvia; Mytilida; Mytilidae. The record is from RNAcentral.